This 253-nucleotide ribosomal RNA is filed under the name uncultured bacterium. Its description in RNAcentral is "partial 16S ribosomal RNA". It matches the Rfam family "Bacterial small subunit ribosomal RNA", at positions 524 to 776 of the family's 1533-position model. The record is from RNAcentral.
UACGGGGGGGGCAAGCGUUGUUCGGAAUUACUGGGCGUAAAGCGCACGUAGGCGGAUUGUUAAGUCAGGGGUGAAAUCCUGGAGCUCAACUCCAGAACUGCCUUUGAUACUGGCGACCUUGAGUCCGGGAGAGGUGAGUGGAACUGCGAGUGUAGAGGUGAAAUUCGUAGAUAUUCGCAAGAACACCAGUGGCGAAGGCGGCUCACUGGCCCGGUACUGACGCUGAGGUGCGAAAGCGUGGGGAGCAAACAGG